UUUUUGGAGAGUUUGAUCCUGGCUCAGGACGAACGCUGGCGGCGUGCCUAAUACAUGCAAGUCGAGCGGACCGAACGGA
Molecule: ribosomal RNA, 79 nt
Filed under: Parageobacillus toebii NBRC 107807
Lineage: Bacteria; Bacillati; Bacillota; Bacilli; Caryophanales; Anoxybacillaceae
Description: partial 16S ribosomal RNA
Rfam family: Bacterial small subunit ribosomal RNA
Source: RNAcentral